CCCUUAGAUGUUCUGGGCCGCACGCGCGCUACACUGACGAAUGCAACGAGCUUAUAACCUUGGCCGAAAGGUCUGGGUAAUCUCCAAAUUUCGUCGUGAUGGGGAUAGAUUAUUGCAAUUAUUAAUCUUCAACGAGGAAUGCCUAGUAAGCGCAAGUCAUCAGCUUGCGUUGAUUACGUCCCUGCCCUUUGUACACACCGCCCGUCGCUCCUACCGAUUGAAUGGUCCGGUGAAGCGUUCGGACCGUGGCCUUUGGACGGUUCGCCGUCUGUUGGCUGCGGGAAGUUCGCUAAACCUUAUCAUUUAGAGGAAGGAGAAGUCGUAACA
RNAcentral lists this ribosomal RNA (327 nucleotides) under uncultured eukaryote. Its description in RNAcentral is "partial 18S ribosomal RNA". It matches the Rfam family "Eukaryotic small subunit ribosomal RNA", at positions 1470 to 1796 of the family's 1831-position model. The record is from RNAcentral.